CGUAGGUGGCGAGCGUUGUCCGGAAUUAUUGGGCGUAAAGGGAGCGCAGGCGGGAGGUCAAGUCUAUCUUAAAAAGUGCGGGGCUCAACCCCGUGAGGGGAUGGAAAACUGGUCUUCUUGAGUGCAGGAGAGGAAAGCGGAAUUCCUAGUGUAGCGGUGAAAUGCGUAGAUAUUAGGAGGAACACCAGUGGCGAAGGCGGCUUUCUGGACUGUAACUGACGCUGAGGCUCGAAAGCGUGGGGAGCGA
RNAcentral lists this ribosomal RNA (247 nucleotides) under uncultured bacterium. RNAcentral's name for it is "partial 16S ribosomal RNA". It matches the Rfam family "Bacterial small subunit ribosomal RNA", at positions 526 to 771 of the family's 1533-position model. The record is from RNAcentral.